GACGAACGCUGGCGGCGUGCUUAACACAUGCAAGUCGAACGGAAAGGCCCUGCUUUUGUGGGGUGCUCGAGUGGCGAACGGGUGAGUAACACGUGAGUAACCUGCCCUUGACUUUGGGAUAACUUCAGGAAACUGGGGCUAAUACCGGAUAGGAGCUCCUGCUGCAUGGUGGGGGUUGGAAAGUUUCGGCGGUUGGGGAUGGACUCGCGGCUUAUCAGCUUGUUGGUGGGGUAGUGGCUUACCAAGGCUUUGACGGGUAGCCGGCCUGAGAGGGUGACCGGCCACAUUGGGACUGAGAGACGGCCCAGACUACUACGGGAGGCAGCAGUGGGGAAUAUUGCACAAUGGGCGGAAGCCUGAUGCAGCAACGCCGCGUGCGGGAUGACGGCCUUCGGGUUGUAAACCGCUUUCGCCUGUGACGAAGCGUGAGUGACGGUAAUGGGUAAAGAAGCACCGGCUAACUACGUG
Molecule: ribosomal RNA, 468 nt
Filed under: uncultured bacterium
Lineage: Bacteria
Description: partial 16S ribosomal RNA
Rfam family: Bacterial small subunit ribosomal RNA
Source: RNAcentral